Molecule: ribosomal RNA, 501 nt
Filed under: uncultured bacterium
Lineage: Bacteria
Description: bacterial SSU rRNA
Rfam family: Bacterial small subunit ribosomal RNA
Source: RNAcentral
AAUGAACGUUGGCGGCGUGCCUAACACAUGCAAGUCGAGCGUGAAAGUCCUCCGGGAUGAGUAAAGCGGCGAACGGGUGAGUAACGCGUGAGAAUCUACCUUUUAGUGAAGAAUACCUUUGGGAAACUAAAGUUAAUGCUGCAUAAGUCUCGCAAGAGAGAAAGAUGGCCUCUUUGCUGUCGCUAAAAGAUGAGCUUGCGUUCUAUUAGUUAGUUGGUGGGGUAAAGGCCUACCAAGACGAUGAUGGAUAACCGGCCUGAGAGGGUGUACGGUCACAUUGGAACUUAGACACGGUCCAAACUCCUACGGGAGGCAGCAGUGAGGAAUAUUGCACAAUGGGCGAAAGCCUGAUGCAGCGACGCCGCGUGGAGGAUGACGGUCUUCGGAUUGUAAACUCCUGUUAAGUGGGAAAAAAGAAUCACUGUUAAUAGCGGUGAGAGAUGAUGGUACCACUAGAGAAAGCACCGGCUAACUUCGUGCCAGCAGCCGCGGUAAUACGGA